CGUCAAAUCAUCAUGCCCCUUAUGACCUGGGCUACACACGUGCUACAAUGGACGGUACAAAGAGUCGCGAGACCGCGAGGUGGAGCUAAUCUCAUAAAACCGUUCUCAGUUCGGAUUGUAGGCUGCAACUCGCCUACAUGAAGCCGGAAUCGCUAGUAAUCGCGGAUCAGCAUGCCGCGGUGAAUACGUUCCCGGGCCUU
RNAcentral lists this ribosomal RNA (200 nucleotides) under uncultured organism. Its description in RNAcentral is "partial small subunit ribosomal RNA". It matches the Rfam family "Bacterial small subunit ribosomal RNA", at positions 1183 to 1382 of the family's 1533-position model. The record is from RNAcentral.